CGGAACGGGUGAGUAACGCGUGAGGAACCUGCCUCAAAGAGGGGGACAACAGUUGGAAACGACUGCUAAUACCGCAUAAGCCCACGGCUCGGCAUCGAGCAGAGGGAAAAGGAGCAUCCGCUUUGAGAUGGCCUCGCGUCCGAUUAGCUAGUUGGUGAGGUAACGGCCCACCAAGGCGACGAUCGGUAGCCGGACUGAGAGGUUGAACGGCCACAUUGGGACUGAGACACGGCCCAG
Molecule: ribosomal RNA, 237 nt
Filed under: uncultured bacterium
Lineage: Bacteria
Description: partial 16S ribosomal RNA
Rfam family: Bacterial small subunit ribosomal RNA
Source: RNAcentral